CAAGGUUUUGUGUGGUCUGGCCCUUGUACUGUGUUCACCAUCACCUGUGAUCUUUGAUGACUAUCUGCCAGAUGCUCUGAACUUUUUUCCUGAAUUUCUGCUACCUAGAAAACUUUCAGGAUGUAGUUUGCAUUCAGUGUGUAUUUAUUGAAUUAUUGAACUAAUUAAUGAAUGCCUUAGAGCAGUGUGAUCAAACCUGUUUGCACAUUUGAUUCUCUAAUAGAACUUUUAAAACAAAGGUAUUUGAAACUCUCUCUUGGAGAUUCUGAUUUAAUUUUCCUUUAAAAAGGGUUCUCAGAUUAUUUUAAUGUGCAGAGUUGAGAAACUGACUUAGAGGAAAGGACAAUCAUUAAUAAAUGACUGAAGUGGAUUUCUCAGACUCCUAAACUCUCAUAUAGUAUACUUUCACUGCCAUAUAACCCCAUGUAUUCUCAAAAAAUAACUUUUUCCCUAUUUAGUAGUAAAUGAUCCUGUUAGACUUCAAAUUCCUGUUAGACACUGGCAGCUCUGAUACAAUUUAGCUUGAUUUAAUUUUGUGCAUGCUUUGCUAGAGUCACUAAGUAAGAUUCCCAGAUAUUUCUGAAAUGGAAAAGGAAGGGUCAUUUGACUCUGUUUCAUACACCACAGCUUUGCUGAUUAACAAUACCUGGGUCUCAGCCAAUGGUGUCGUCAUGUUGGCUACAUGAGUAUUGCAAACAAAACCCAGCACCCAGGCAGAUCUGAAGUUCAAAGCUUAUUUAGACUGGGAACACUUAUUAAAGAAAAUGUCAUUUGUGUUCAGAAUAAUGGCUUGUAACUCUUCCAAAAUGAUUUUUCACCUAAUAGGAUUCGUCCUCUUCAAUGGAAACUCCAAGGAGAAAAUCUGGAAAUUUUGGCGGUAUAUACUGAGACCAGAUGGUCAACAGGAUUCUUUUUCAAGGACCAAGAGUUCUGGACAAUGUCCACACGUGAUCUCUGAAGUGUUGAGAAUGAAGAGUAUCUCUGUGGAACCUACACACAUGAAUGACAGCAGGACUGGUAAAGUACUCCCAGAUAAUCCUUCCCUAUCACUUCUGUGCAGUCACCAUUGCAUUAUCUUCUGGCAUUGGCUGUUGCAGUAGAGAAUUCUGAGAUGCCUAUAUUCUUUAAUUCCACUGCUAUUGACCUAAAUAGUUCUAGAAUUCAUCCUAGUCUAUACUCACCAUUCCUCUUUCCAUCAUGUUGAGGAUAGAUGGCUACUAGUUCUGACUCAAGUAUUUCCUUUUAGGAUUUUUUAUGCACUUUAAAAAAAUUUUUUCUUAUAAGGUAUUCUGUCAGUGUUGGUGCGCUUCUCAAAAUGUCAUGUAUCUAUGAUGCUGGAUAUGGGGUGAGAAUCCAGGCUUAACACAGAGGUAAACCGAGAUUGAUGUGAUUGAUCUGUGGGUUAGAGUACAGAACAAAGCAAAAUCUGAAAGGCUGAAUUGAGUGAUAAAGUCAAGAUCCAAAGAGAGCAUGCAAACAGCAACAGUAUGAAGUUAGAGAGGCAGGGACCUGGUACAAAACACUGGGAUGGAAUGUAAAGUAAGUGGCUUUGGGAUGAAGGGAAGAUGUUUGAGUUUUGAGUCUCUGAGCCAUUAUAUGGAGCUGCCACGUGUGUUGGGCAAUUUAGGCAAAAGAAACUGAGUCAGCCAAGAAAUCCUGCCCCAUGCCUAUUGCUGAAGUUUAUGCUGGAGGGCCUGGGAUGGGUGCAUGUCUUAGAGAAGUCCUGCCUGAGACAAUAUAGCUUAGGUUGGCUGUCAGUGUUGCCUCAUUCCCACUGACCACGAAGACGAACAUACUUACUUCCAUUUGCCGUAGCAGUUGAUGAUGUGGUUUAUCUCUUUGGUACAGUUCCACAGGUACUGCAAUAAAAAGUUGGAAAGAAUUCUUAUGAGAUUUGAC
This 1899-nucleotide long non-coding RNA is filed under the name Oryctolagus cuniculus (rabbit). RNAcentral's name for it is "lncRNA (ENSOCUG00000034581.1)". The record is from RNAcentral. Lineage: Eukaryota; Metazoa; Chordata; Mammalia; Lagomorpha; Leporidae.